This 119-nucleotide ribosomal RNA is filed under the name Pteropus alecto (black flying fox). The record is from RNAcentral. Lineage: Eukaryota; Metazoa; Chordata; Mammalia; Chiroptera; Pteropodidae.
GUCUGCAUCCAUACCACUCUGAAUAAGCCCGAUCCAGUCUGAUCUCAGAAGCUAAGCAGGAUCAGGCCUGGUUAGUACUUGGAUGGGAGACCACCUAAGAAGACCAGGUGCUGUAGGCA